AGCUCCAAUAGCGUAUAUUAAAGUUGUUGCAGUUAAAAAGCUCGUAGUUGAUUCUUGGGCCUGGCUGGCCGGUCCGCCUCACGGCGAGUACUGUUCCGGCCGGGUCUUUCUUUCUCUGGGGAGCCGCCAUGCUCUUCACUGGGUGCGGCGGGGGACCCAGGACUUUUACUUUGAAAAAAUUAGAGUGCUCAAAGCAGGCAUAAUGCUCGAAUACAUUAGCAUGGAAUAAUGGAAUAGGACGUUGGACCUAUUU
Molecule: ribosomal RNA, 253 nt
Filed under: uncultured Lecanoromycetes
Lineage: Eukaryota; Fungi; Ascomycota; Lecanoromycetes
Description: partial small subunit ribosomal RNA
Rfam family: Eukaryotic small subunit ribosomal RNA
Source: RNAcentral